GACAGGGUAAAGGAUUCAGAGGGCAAAGCCAUCAGCCCAGGCACAGCCAGACUUUCCAUCUAUCCCACUCAACUUCUUGUCAAGUUUGGUUACCACCAAACCACAAAUCUGGAAAAAGAAAACCACAUGCCAAAUGAAGAAGACAAAAACAAGCCCUAUGAGCCUAAGUGUGAACCCAAGUGUUGUGUCCCAUGUCCUCCUCCUUGCCCUAAGCCUUGCCCACCUAAAUCCUGCCCACCACCAUGUCCUCCUCCUUGCCCACCUAAAUGCUGCCCAGCACCAUGUCCUCCUCCUUGCCCACCUAAAUGCUGCCCACCAAAAAGUCCCCCUCCAUGUCCCCCUCCUCCACCAUGCCCUCCUCCACCAUGCCCCCCACCAGAAUGAAAACCAUUGGAUAUUGACCUCCAACAUCAACACCACCAACAUCAUCAUCUCUGUCCAUCUUGGUGGGUGGGGUGCCUGUAAACUGAAGCCAUGAACUGACAAGUAAACGUGUUUCUCUGCUGUGCAACAAAAACAUGCCUUUUUCUGGUUGUUUUUGGUUUUUUGUUCUGCGUUUUUUUUUUGUCAUAAAUCAAAUUACGCAAGCCAAAUUACUUUGGGCCAACUUCUCCUUUCCAUUAGUCAACUCUUCCAAGAUUGGUCCUAGAUUACCAAUAAGCAGAAAGUAAUUCUAACUUAUGUUCCCCACACACACAGUGGAUUAUCCACUGGAAAAUUUCCACCUUGGCUCCUUUCAUAGUUGCUACCUUCCUGAGUCACACAAAACUCUGCCAGAUACUUGAAGUUCAUUCUGGGAAUGGCAUGGCAUGUCUGAAAAAGCAG
This 825-nucleotide long non-coding RNA is filed under the name Phascolarctos cinereus (koala). RNAcentral's name for it is "lncRNA (ENSPCIG00000030832.1)". Lineage: Eukaryota; Metazoa; Chordata; Mammalia; Diprotodontia; Phascolarctidae. The record is from RNAcentral.